UUCUUUUUCCACCGGAGCUUGCUCCACCGGAAAAAGAGGAGUGGCGAACGGGUGAGUAACACGUGGGUAACCUGCCCAUCAGAAGGGGAUAACACUUGGAAACAGGUGCUAAUACCGUAUAACAAUCGAAACCGCAUGGUUUUGAUUUGAAAGGCGCUUUCGGGUGUCGCUGAUGGAUGGACCCGCGGUGCAUUAGCUAGUUGGUGAGGUAACGGCUCACCAAGGCGACGAUGCAUAGCCGACCUGAGAGGGUGAUCGGCCACAUUGGGACUGAGACACGGCCCAAACUCCUACGGGAGGCAGCAGUAGGGAAUCUUCGGCAAUGGACGAAAGUCUGACCGAGCAACGCCGCGUGAGUGAAGAAGGUUUUCGGAUCGUAAAACUCUGUUGUUAGAGAAGAACAAGGAUGAGAGUAACUGUUCAUCCCUUGACGGUAUCUAACCAGAAAGCCACGGCUAACUACGUGCCAGCAGCCGCGGUAAUACGUAGGUGGCAAGCGUUGUCCGGAUUUAUUGGGCGUAAAGCGAGCGCAGGCGGUUUCUUAAGUCUGAUGUGAAAGCCCCCGGCUCAACCGGGGAGGGUCAUUGGAAACUGGGAGACUUGAGUGCAGAAGAGGAGAGUGGAAUUCCAUGUGUAGCGGUGAAAUGCGUAGAUAUAUGGAGGAACACCAGUGGCGAAGGCGGCUCUCUGGUCUGUAACUGACGCUGAGGCUCGAAAGCGUGGGGAGCAAACAGGAUUAGAUACCCUGGUAGUCCACGCCGUAAACGAUGAGUGCUAAGUGUUGGAGGGUUUCCGCCCUUCAGUGCUGCAGCUAACGCAUUAAGCACUCCGCCUGGGGAGUACGACCGCAAGGUUGAAACUCAAAGGAAUUGACGGGGGCCCGCACAAGCGGUGGAGCAUGUGGUUUAAUUCGAAGCAACGCGAAGAACCUUACCAGGUCUUGACAUCCUUUGACCACUCUAGAGAUAGAGCUUCCCCUUUCGGGGGCAAAGUGACAGG
This 999-nucleotide ribosomal RNA is filed under the name Enterococcus hirae. Its description in RNAcentral is "bacterial SSU rRNA". It matches the Rfam family "Bacterial small subunit ribosomal RNA", at positions 69 to 1038 of the family's 1533-position model. The record is from RNAcentral. Lineage: Bacteria; Bacillati; Bacillota; Bacilli; Lactobacillales; Enterococcaceae.